Molecule: long non-coding RNA, 1178 nt
Organism: Patiria miniata (bat star)
Lineage: Eukaryota; Metazoa; Echinodermata; Asteroidea; Valvatida; Asterinidae
Exons: 4
Source: RefSeq, a predicted model, not a curated record
UCAAACAAAACAUAUAAUCGAGACAUCACAUUCGUCUGCAAGAUUCGAUUUUCCAACCAGUGAAACGCAUUUCGCUCUAUAUAAAACAAAUCCAUGGGUCCACACAAAGGGAUCGUAAUCUAGCGAAGUUAAUUUGUACCACUUCAUGAACAAGUCAGUAAACGAACAACACUAGACGACAACUAGUCCCAUACCAUGACGUUUUGCCCCUGUGCCUUGCUCAACUCAAAGCCCGUCCUCAUGGCAACGGCUAUGGCGGUUGGUGCUGCAGCGGGAUACUUCAUAUUUGGACACAUCGGCACAGUUGGUCGAAACGACAAAGAAAAGGUAACUGGUUCAGGUCUUCGACGGGAUACAAGCGUGUAGCUGUCACAUCCUAAAGAGCCAAUUCAAGUGGACAAUUCGACGUGCAACGGCCGAUGCAUUGAAAAAUGGUGUCACAAAACACCCCAUGCUGAAUUCUGCAAUAAUAAAGCUAUGAGCUGCAACCAACCGACAUUGGACUAAUCGACUCUAGGUGCCCCUUACCCUGUGGGUUUCAAGAAUGAGUUACUGUUUGACUCCUCUUUUACUGGGAAAUAGUAAGUUAAAAGUUUGUUUAUCAGUAGAACACUAAUUACAAGGCAUAAAUUUUCGAAUCGUUGCUUGAGGGCUCUUGGUCGCUCCAAAGUGGCGUGGCGCCUCGCCAACGUAUAAUUUAAGGACAGGAAGAAGCUAUAAAUUCCGACUAUCUGUAGACAAUUCACGCUGGUCAUCAUCAGAGCCCCGAGGAGACGUGAAACCAGAGCUGGGAACUAACAAUUCACAAACACGGUUUGGGAGGUAAAUUUGCGUUCAUCGGGCGUCUGAAGACGCGAAAAAUUGGCGGGAAAUGCGCCGUUAAUCAUAGCUGCUGGAGACGCAUUUCUUUUGGAACAUUUGAAACAGAAUCCCCAUCAUUAGAACAAGUAACACGUAACACAAGACUUCUAUGAUUAGGUUUUGGCUCAUUACCAAUACACUAACACGAUGUGUCCCAUAUGUCAGCUGAUGGGUGUUACAACGGAUGGUCUAUAUGAGAAUUUACGGUCACACUUCUCACGUUUCGUCAUUACACGAAACGCCAUUUGUACAUCAAUGAGUUUCAUGCUUGUGAAACACAAAUUGCCCAUUAAAGGAUAUUCUGAGGAUUAAUCAAA